This 23-nucleotide non-coding RNA is filed under the name Mus musculus (house mouse). The record is from RNAcentral. Lineage: Eukaryota; Metazoa; Chordata; Mammalia; Rodentia; Muridae.
UCCAAGGCUUGAUCCUGCGUUCC